UACAGAGGUGGCAAGCGUUGUUCGGAAUUACUGGGCGUAAAGGGCGCGUAGGCGGCCUUCUAAGUCGGACGUGAAAGCCCCAGGCUUAACCUGGGAACUGCGUCUGAUACUGGAAGGCUUGGAUUCGGGAGAGGGAUGUGGAAUUCCAGGUGUAGCGGUGAAAUGCGUAGAUAUCGGGAGGAACACCAGCGGCGAAGGCGGCUUUCUGGACCAAUACUGACGCUGAGACGCGAAAGCGUGGGGAGCAAACAGGAUUAGAUACCCCCGUAGUC
RNAcentral lists this ribosomal RNA (272 nucleotides) under uncultured bacterium. Its description in RNAcentral is "partial 16S ribosomal RNA". It matches the Rfam family "Bacterial small subunit ribosomal RNA", at positions 524 to 795 of the family's 1533-position model. The record is from RNAcentral.